RNAcentral lists this ribosomal RNA (443 nucleotides) under uncultured bacterium. RNAcentral's name for it is "partial 16S ribosomal RNA". It matches the Rfam family "Bacterial small subunit ribosomal RNA", at positions 29 to 506 of the family's 1533-position model. The record is from RNAcentral.
AAUCAACGCUGGCGGCGCGCUUAACACAUGCAAGUCGCACGAGAAAGGGAGCAAUCCUGAGUAAAGUGGCGUACGGGUGAGUAACACGUGGGAAUCUACCUCUUGGCGGGGAAUAACCCUGGGAAACCGGGGCUAAUACCGCAUAAGCUCGUGAGAGGAAAGCAGCAAUGCACCGAGAGAGGAGCCCGCGGCCGAUUAGCUAGUUGGUGGGGUAAUGGCUCACCAAGGCGAAGAUCGGUAGCCGGCCUGAGAGGGCACACGGCCACACUGGCACUGAAACACGGGCCAGACUCCUACGGGAGGCAGCAGUGGGGAAUCUUGCACAAUGGGGGAAACCCUGAUGCAGCGACGCCGCGUGAGCGAUGAAGCCCUUCGGGGUGUAAAGCUCUUUCGACAGGAACGAUAAUGACGGGACCUGGAGAAGAAGCUGCGGCUAACUACGU